CCUACGGGAGGCAGCAGUGGGGAAUAUUGCGCAAUGGGCGAAAGCCUGACGCAGCGACGCAGCGUGAGGGAUGAAGGCCUUCGGGUUGUAAACCUCUUUCAGCGGGGACGAAGCGAAAGUGACGGUACCCGCAGAAGAAGCACCGGCUAACUACGUGCCAGCAGCCGCGGUAAUGCGUAGGGUGCAAGCAUUGUCCGGAUUUAUUGGGCGUAAAGAGCUCGUAGGCGGCUUGUCGCGUCGGGUGUGAAAACUUGGGGCUCAACCCCAAGCCUGCACUCGAUACGGGCUAGCUAGAGUGUUGCAGGGGAGACUGGAAUUCCUGGUGUAGCGGUGAAAUGCGCAGAUAUCAGGAGGAACACCGGUGGCGAAGGCGGGUCUCUGGGCAACUACUGACGCUGAGGAGCGAAAGCGUGGGGAGCGAACAGGAUUAGAUACCCUGGUAGUCCACGCCGUAAACGGUGGGCGCUAGGUGUGGGGAACCUUCCACGUUCUCUGUGCCGCNGCUACGCAUAGCGCCCGCCGUCGGGAGGUACGGCCGGCCGACGGACGUAAACCGUUAAACGGUAAAGUUAGUUACGGCGUGAGACGUCGCCGACGGCGACGACGAGGGAGGAGG
This 616-nucleotide ribosomal RNA is filed under the name uncultured bacterium. Its description in RNAcentral is "bacterial SSU rRNA". The stretch from base 1 to 521 matches the Rfam family "Bacterial small subunit ribosomal RNA", at positions 338 to 873 of the family's 1533-position model. The record is from RNAcentral.